RNAcentral lists this RNase P RNA (409 nucleotides) under Paenibacillus foliorum. Its description in RNAcentral is "Bacterial RNase P class A". It matches the Rfam family "Bacterial RNase P class A". From Rfam's summary of the family: Ribonuclease P (RNase P) is a ubiquitous endoribonuclease, found in archaea, bacteria and eukarya as well as chloroplasts and mitochondria. Its best characterised activity is the generation of mature 5'-ends of tRNAs by cleaving the 5'-leader elements of precursor-tRNAs. Lineage: Bacteria; Bacillati; Bacillota; Bacilli; Caryophanales; Paenibacillaceae. RNAcentral also lists the same sequence under 1 other name. The record is from Rfam by way of RNAcentral.
AAAGCUUGACAGACAAUCGCUGGUGAGAAAUCACGAGAGGAAAGUCCGGGCUCCACAGGGCAAUGAUGCUGGAUAACGUCCAGUCAGCGCGAGCUGAAGGCUAGUGCCACAGAAAUGGACCGCCGAUGGCGUGGGGUUAAACUCACGCACAGGUAAGGGUGGAACCGUGGUGUAAGAGACCACGAGGAGAUAUGGUGACAUAUGUCCUGGUAAACCCCAUUUGGUGCAAGACCUAAUGGAACGCACGUCUCCUUGGAGACAGUCUCUGCCCGGGACGCGUUCGGGUUGGUCGCUGGAGCCAAACGGCAACGUUUGGCCUAGAUAGAUGAUUGUCGCUUCAAUGGUGGGAGGGUGGUACCCGAUACGACCACUGGAAGUACAGAACCCGGCUUAUGCGCAAGCUUUCCUA